CAAAACAAAACUAAAACAAAAAAACCAAAAAAGAUUGGUUAUAGUUAUAAUGUUGUGGUGAUCAUCCCAGUCUAACUUCCGAAAAGAGAGAAUGUCUUUUAUUUUAUGUGAAAUCCCUGGGAAAAAAAAAUUCAGAUGGGCUUUAGACCACAUAAUUUAAUAAUUAGAAACCGACUUUGGUAAUCAUUGCACAACUAUGAGAGAUGAGCAUUAAAACAGUCAAACAAGCUGGAAAAAUUGAGAGCUUCAGUUUGGGAGCCAUACUCCUUUUCACCUGCUCAGCAUCUCUCCAAGAAUUCCUAAUGUGUGCUCCAGAUUUUCUCCAAGUCAGGGGCUGUUCACAGCAACAGCACAUUUUCAAGUUCAUCAUAUCAGUGCUUAAUAACUUCCAUUUCAGGCUGUGGAUUCAGUCUUUGGAAAACAAAUGCAAAUUACCUAGAUGGCUGUACUUGGAGCCAGACAUCUGGACCGAUUCCUCUCUCCAGAUCUUUCUUACUAAGGUAGGAAUCUGUCAGCUAUUCCAAUGACAAAGAUGGUUCUCAUCACUGUCAAGAAUAGCUGGAGCUGAGCAAAACAAUUGCAUGUGCAGAUAAAUAAAAUAAUUUUAUUUGGAAAAGACAUCUGAGACCAUUUAGUGCAGCCAUAAACCUAACACUACCGAGUCCACAGCUAAACCAAAUUCCUAAGCAUUCUAUCUACACACCUUUUAAAUACCUCCAUGAAUGGUGACUCAACCACCUCCCUAGGCAAACUGUUUUCUUGAAGAAAUAUCCAAUCUAAACCUCCCCUGGUAUAACGUGAGACCAUUUUCUCUCAUCACUUGUUACUUGAGACAAGAGAAUGAUGCUCACCUGCCUGCAACCUCCUUUCAGGUAGUUGUAGAGAGCAAUAAGGUCUUCCCUGAGCCUUCUUUUCCUGGGUUAAAUACCUCCAGCUUCUUCAGCCACCCCUCACAGAACUUGUUCUCCAGAUCCUCUGCCAGCUUUGUUGCCUUUCUCCGCACACACUCCAACACCUCAAUGGCUUUCUUGUAGUGAAUAGAAAUAUUUAAGCAAAGUGAUUGUCCUGGUGUCAAUGGUUGGUAGAAGGAGGAGAUGGGCAACUUGCUGUCAAAAAUUGCAAGUUUUUUGUCUAGAUCUGUUUUCAGAUUUGGCUGAACAUGAAGCUGCAUGAACACUGCAUCCAGGUGAUGAGAAGAACUGACAGAAGCCAUUGUUCCUUUUUGGCAAAAGUCAACUUUCAUCAGGUUAUAAAGCCUGUGCAGUCAUGCAUGUGGAGACCAGUGCAAGGAGAGCAGAGAAGUCUUAAUCUUGUCUUUGAAACCCUACUUCAAGGAAACCUGGAAAAAAGAGGAUCAUACCAAAACAUACACUGGCAUGAAGUUUUUUCUGGAACUAAACCUGUGAAACUGUUUUGAAAUGCCUUGUUCAACAAAUGUACUGCAUGCAUGUGUAAUAUAAGUGGAUGUAAGGAACCUGGUAGGUAAUUUGCCUUCUGUAUAGAAGCAGAGAUAUCUGCUGAUCAAGUGCAUAGCAUUUUCCCUUCCCUUUCCCCAUAUAUUUUAUUUCUAUAUGUGGCAAGAGACAGGCUCACCAACUACUUUCCUGAAGCAAAAUAGAACUAAAAGACCUCCAAGUUACAAAGUCAGCUUGUGCUCCUAAAUAUCCAGCAUUUUGCCUAUACUGAGUUAUCAAUCUACAUGAUCUUGGGUACAAAGAAAUUGGUAUCUGAGUGCUAACAAAUGUAGAAGUGCCUGACAGGAAAGACAGAAAUAUUUCACUGCAAUUGUUGUUCAGUUUUGUAUUAAUUAACUAGAAAGAUAUCUCAAAAAUUUUUGCAACUUAUUGGCAAGUAUAUUCCCAUAUUGCAAAGACAUUAAUAGGUUAUUUUUUUUUCACUUGUCAAAGGCUUAAGUGUAACAACUUGCACCUUCAGAUUUUGAAAUCCUAGUGAGCCUGGAGAGGCAGAGUAACUCAGAUGUUAUAUUCCUGCCAAAUUCACUUGUCAUAAAGCCAAAUGGGUUCUUAAUGCUAAAAAUUAUUUGCAAGGAUGAUGAAAGUGCACCUGACUUCAUGACCCCUAUUCCAAAGCCCUUCUUAUUGCCACCUGUACUUUGCACUGCACACUUCAUGUAAACUGGGCUGUCAGUCUGGUUUUUUGUGCCCUUUAUGAAAGUCCUUGCUGUGCUGGGUUCUUUGGGUCACUCCCUUAAGUAUGGUGAUUUUCAAGUCAAUCUCCCAUUUGUGCUAUUGCUGCUGAUGGGGAAUCUGCUGUCAUGCUUUUACUGCCUUCUUCUCAUGUUAACCUUUUAUAGUCCUAUCAACCCUAUUUCUUUUUACCCUCCUGUGUAGAGGUAGUUGAUGGCAAGAGCUUUUUUUUUCUUUCUAGUCCUAUCUUCAUAUUCUUUUGCAUGUAGCUUGUCUGCUUCUAUUACAUAGCUGUCUUCUAGAGUUUAGCUUCUUCUGCUAUCUUUAAUGUAUAACCAUUCCAAAUGACCUGCAUUCCAUUGCAACUUAAAUAUUAUACUGCUGGAUUAAGGGGCUUUAAUGAGUUCAUGGAAUCAUAUUGUCUUGUGCAUAAUUUAUUUUAAUUGGAAUCCCUGACAGGAGAUGCACACAGGGCAGCUCAUGUUGAUUUUUCUGUUGACUUUGAAGCCUCCAUUUGCAAUCUACUUAACUGUUCUUUUUUGCAUACAGCAGUGCUGAAGAAACUUAUAUACUGGUUAUAACCAAAAGGCCUUUUAAAUGUUGCACAUUUUAGGAAGGUGCAUUAAAAUAUUUCUAUGGAAAUUCAGAAAUAAUUUUCUAGAAUAGGAGAUUAUGCCAAAAUAUUUGAAGACUUGUUGGGUCAACCUCAACUUGUUAAUUUCAUAAAAUUGGUUCUCCAUUGGCCUGUAUAAAUCCUACACUGUUUUUAGAGCCAGCUCUAAAAUGUAUGUGUUACUACCUAAAUGCCCUCAUAGAUUCAGUUGCAAAUUACUGCUCAAAGGGAAAAGAGAAAAAGGCUCAUGAAGUAAAAUCAUUGUAUUGGGUACACCUGUUGGACUUCACUUGUAGAAAGCCAAAUUCAGUACUGUUUUGACCACAGAUUCAGAUACAGAUACUCAAAUAACAGUUGAAAAAGGAGAGGGACAGCUUAAAUUAGUAGCUAAAACUAUGAGAUACCAAGUAUUAAAUAACAGCAAAUAUUGCAAGUUAGGAUUGAGGUUCAAUAUCAGAAUAUGGGCUAUGACUGGAGUAGAUGUGCCACAGGGAUUAAGGAUAGAUGAAACUGUAGAGCAUUGGUAAGCAAGUCUAGAGAUACCAGAACUUGAUAAGCAGGAGGCAACAGGUGAGAACUGAAGCACUGCAGCAGAUGUAGGUAGAGGAAGAGCCUCUGGACCCCUGACCAGAAGACCAAAGGUUGCUGUGAGUUUGUUUAAGAUGCAUUAUUAGAAAGUAUAGUUUUGCAACACCUGCAAGUGAGAAGCACCAGCUACUAUAGCUUACCUUUAAAGCUUCAAAUUUAAGAGUUUUAAUCAAUCCUUUUUGAUUGAAGAGGAGGUGAUUUCAGUCUUAAAAUUGCUAAAGUGGUUGUUGUUGCUCUUGUCUAGUAGCAGAAAUGGAAUACAGAAUCUUGCAUGACCUUACUUCUUUUUUAUUAUUAUUUUUUUAUAUAAAGCUACCUAAAAAUAGAAAUAGAAAACCUAACUUUAGCUUUCACUGUCCCUGUUUGGAAAGUCUGGUCAAAGGCCUAUGGCAAAACUAUGCAAUAUCCUCUGAACUACAAUAGCUGUCUGUUAGAGUGCUCCUUUCUCUUACAGAGGGAAUACUUCAUACAUAGCUUACAUCUGCUCCAGUAUCCACAGACAGUAAAAUCAUCCAUAUAUUUUAUCUUAAAAACAAAAUUAGUAGUCAUUAAAUUCCCCUGUUUUAACAAUAAACCAAGAUGCAAGGUAUUUUGACAGAUGUGACAUUAACUACAUAUGAAAUAGUACCAUGUAGGCUUCUCUUUGGUGUCAUUCCAGAUGAAAACAUAUAGAAAAGGUUUUUAUUAUUAUUUUUAAAACACAUGAUUUUUAUCACAAACCUGGAUAAGGUUUUUCACCCUAAGAAAUUUAUAGAUGUCAGCUGAUGGACAACUACUCAUCACAUUAUUUUGUCAUGUUUGUUUGUAUUGGUUUUCUGUGAAUAAAAGAUACUCUAAGCAUCCUUGGGAAA
Taeniopygia guttata (zebra finch) is the source of this 4199-nucleotide non-coding RNA. NCBI's taxonomy places the organism in Eukaryota, Metazoa, Chordata, Aves, Passeriformes, Estrildidae. The record is from RefSeq and is a predicted model, not a curated record.